GGUUAAGCGACUAAGCGUACACGGUGGAUGCCCUGGCAGUCAGAGGCGAUGAAGGACGUGCUAAUCUGCGAAAAGCGUCGGUAAGGUGAUAUGAACCGUUAUAACCGGCGAUGUCCGAAUGGGGAAACCCAGUGCAAUUCGUUGCACUAUCGUUAACUGAAUACAUAGGUUAACGAGGCGAACCGGGGAACUGAAACAUCUAAGUACCCCGAGGAAAAGAAAUCAACCGAGAUUCCCCCAGUAGCGGCGAGCGAACGGGGAGCAGCCCAGAGUCUGAAUCAGCUUGUGUGUUAGUGGAACGGUCUGGAAAGUCCGACGGUACAGGGUGAUAGUCCCGUACACCAAAAUGCACAGGCUGUGAACUCGAAGAGUAGGGCGGGACACGUGGUAUCCUGUCUGAAUAUGGGGGGACCAUCCUCCAAGGCUAAAUACUCCUGACUGACCGAUAGUGAACCAGUACCGUGAGGGAAAGGCGAAAAGAACCCCGGCGAGGGGAGUGAAAAAGAACCUGAAACCGUGUACGUACAAGCAGUGGGAGCACCUUCGGGUGUGACUGCGUACCUUUGUAUAAUGGGUCAGCGACUUAUAUUCUGUAGCAAGGUUAACCGUAUAGGGGAGCCGCAGGGAAACCGAGUCUUAACUGGGCGUUAAGUUGCAGGGUAUAGACCCGAAACCCGGUGAUCUAGCCAUGGGCAGGUUGAAGGUUGGGUAACACUAACUGGAGGACCGAACCGACUAAUGUUGAAAAAUUAGCGGAUGACUUGUGGCUGGGGGUGAAAGGCCAAUCAAACCGGGAGAUAGCUGGUUCUCCCCGAAAGCUAUUUAGGUAGCGCCUCGUGAACUCAUCUUCGGGGGUAGAGCACUGUUUCGGCUAGGGGGUCAUCCCGACUUACCAACCCGAUGCAAACUACGAAUACCGAAGAAUGUUAUCACGGGAGACACACGGCGGGUGCUAACGUCCGUCGUGAAGAGGGAAACAACCCAGACCGCCAGCUAAGGUCCCAAAGUCAUGGUUAAGUGGGAAACGAUGUGGGAAGGCACAGACAGCCAGGAUGUUGGCUUAGAAGCAGCCAUCAUUUAAAGAAAGCGUAAUAGCUCACUGGUCGAGUCGGCCUGCGCGGAAGAUGUAACGGGGCUAAACCAUGCACCGAAGCUGCGGCAGCGACACUAUGUGUUGUUGGGUAGGGGAGCGUUCUGUAAGCCUGCGAAGGUGACCUGUGAGGGUUGCUGGAGGUAUCAGAAGUGCGAAUGCUGACAUAAGUAACGAUAAAGCGGGUGAAAAGCCCGCUCGCCGGAAGACCAAGGGUUCCUGUCCAACGUUAAUCGGGGCAGGGUGAGUCGACCCCUAAGGCGAGGCCGAAAGGCGUAGUCGAUGGGAAACAGGUUAAUAUUCCUGUACUUGGUGUUACUGCGAAGGGGGGACGGAGAAGGCUAUGUUAGCCGGGCGACGGUUGUCCCGGUUUAAGCAUGUAGGCUGGUUAUCCAGGCAAAUCCGGAUAAUCAAGGCUGAGGUGUGAUGACGAGGCACUACGGUGCUGAAGUAACAAAUGCCCUGCUUCCAGGAAAAGCCUCUAAGCAUCAGGUAACAUCAAAUCGUACCCCAAACCGACACAGGUGGUCAGGUAGAGAAUACCAAGGCGCUUGAGAGAACUCGGGUGAAGGAACUAGGCAAAAUGGUGCCGUAACUUCGGGAGAAGGCACGCUGGUGUGUAGGUGAAGCCCCUGCGGGUGGAGCUGAGACCAGUCGAAGAUACCAGCUGGCUGCAACUGUUUAUUAAAAACACAGCACUGUGCAAACACGAAAGUGGACGUAUACGGUGUGACGCCUGCCCGGUGCCGGAAGGUUAAUUGAUGGGGUUAUCCGUAAGGAGAAGCUCUUGAUCGAAGCCCCGGUAAACGGCGGCCGUAACUAUAACGGUCCUAAGGUAGCGAAAUUCCUUGUCGGGUAAGUUCCGACCUGCACGAAUGGCGUAAUGAUGGCCAGGCUGUCUCCACCCGAGACUCAGUGAAAUUGAACUCGCUGUGAAGAUGCAGUGUACCCGCGGCAAGACGGAAAGACCCCGUGAACCUUUACUAUAGCUUGACACUGAACAUUGAGCCUUGAUGUGUAGGAUAGGUGGGAGGCUUUGAAGCGUGGACGCCAGUCUGCGUGGAGCCAACCUUGAAAUACCACCCUUUAAUGUUUGAUGUUCUAACGUUGGCCCCUUACCGGGGUUGCGGACAGUGUCUGGUGGGUAGUUUGACUGGGGCGGUCUCCUCCCAAAGCGUAACGGAGGAGCACGAAGGUUAGCUAAUCCUGGUCGGACAUCAGGAGGUUAGUGCAAUGGCAUAAGCUAGCUUGACUGCGAGCGUGACGGCGCGAGCAGGUGCGAAAGCAGGUCAUAGUGAUCCGGUGGUUCUGAAUGGAAGGGCCAUCGCUCAACGGAUAAAAGGUACUCCGGGGAUAACAGGCUGAUACCGCCCAAGAGUUCAUAUCGACGGCGGUGUUUGGCACCUCGAUGUCGGCUCAUCACAUCCUGGGGCUGAAGUAGGUCCCAAGGGUAUGGCUGUUCGCCAUUUAAAGUGGUACGCGAGCUGGGUUUAGAACGUCGUGAGACAGUUCGGUCCCUAUCUGCCGUGGGCGCUGGAGAAUUGAGGGGGCUGCUCCUAGUACGAGAGGACCGGAGUGGACGCAUCACUGGUGUUCGGGUUGUCAUGCCAAUGGCACUGCCCGGUAGCUAAAUGCGGAAGAGAUAAGUGCUGAAAGCAUCUAAGCACGAAACUUGCCCCGAGAUGAGUUCUCCCUGAGACUUUAAGUCUCCUGAAGGAACGUUAAAGACGAUGACGUUGAUAGGCCGGGUGUGUAAGCGCAGCGAUGCGUUGAGCUAACCGGUACUAAUGAACCGUGAGGCUUAACCUU
RNAcentral lists this ribosomal RNA (2899 nucleotides) under Klebsiella pneumoniae. RNAcentral's name for it is "23S ribosomal RNA". It matches the Rfam family "Bacterial large subunit ribosomal RNA". Lineage: Bacteria; Pseudomonadati; Pseudomonadota; Gammaproteobacteria; Enterobacterales; Enterobacteriaceae. The record is from RNAcentral.